GCAAGUCGAACGGUAACAGGUCUUCGGAUGCUGACGAGUGGCGCACGGGUGCGUAACGCGUAUGCAACCUACCUCUAUCAGGGGGAUAGCCCGAAGACAUUCGGAUUAAUACCUCAUAGUAUUACGAUCUGGCAUCUGAUUGUAAUUAAAGCUUCGGCGGAUAGAGAUGGGCAUGCGUCCUAUUAGUUAGUUGGCGAGGUAACGGCUCACCAAGAUAACGAUGGGUAGGGGGCCUGAGAGGGUGAUC
This 247-nucleotide ribosomal RNA is filed under the name uncultured bacterium. RNAcentral describes it as "partial 16S ribosomal RNA". It matches the Rfam family "Bacterial small subunit ribosomal RNA", at positions 57 to 305 of the family's 1533-position model. The record is from RNAcentral.